GUUGUGAGGCGUUGAGCUAACUGAUACUAAUGACUCGAGAGGCUUAACCAUACAACCCAGAUGGGUUUUG
This 70-nucleotide ribosomal RNA is filed under the name Shewanella sp. Sh95. Its description in RNAcentral is "partial 23S ribosomal RNA". The record is from RNAcentral. Lineage: Bacteria; Pseudomonadati; Pseudomonadota; Gammaproteobacteria; Alteromonadales; Shewanellaceae.